Molecule: ribosomal RNA, 253 nt
Filed under: uncultured bacterium
Lineage: Bacteria
Description: partial 16S ribosomal RNA
Rfam family: Bacterial small subunit ribosomal RNA
Source: RNAcentral
UACAGAGGGGGCAAGCGUUAUUCGGAAUUACUGGGCGUAAAGCGUGCGCAGGCGGUGAGCUGUGUCCGAUGUGAAAGCCCCGGGCUUAACCUGGGAAUGGCAUUGGAAACUGGCUCGCUGGAGUGUGGCAGAGGGGGGUGGAAUUCCGCGUGUAGCAGUGAAAUGCGUAGAGAUGCGGAGGAACACCGAUGGCGAAGGCAGCCCCCUGGGCUAACACUGACGCUCAGGCACGAAAGCGUGGGGAGCAAACAGG